RNAcentral lists this ribosomal RNA (505 nucleotides) under uncultured bacterium. RNAcentral describes it as "partial 16S ribosomal RNA". It matches the Rfam family "Bacterial small subunit ribosomal RNA", at positions 28 to 507 of the family's 1533-position model. The record is from RNAcentral.
GACGAACGCUGGCGGCGUGCUUAAUACAUGCAAGUCGAACGCACAGUUCAUACCUUUGCUUGCUACACCAUAGACUGUGAGUUGCGAACGGGUGAGUAACGCGUCGGUAACCUUCCUGGUAGCGGGGGAUAACUAGUGGAAACGAUAGCUAAUACCGCAUAAUGUUGAUUAUUGCAUGAUAAUUUAUUGAAAGAUGCUAUUGCAUCGCUACCAGUUGGACCUUCGUUGUAUUAGCUAGUAGGUGAGGUAACGGCUCACCUAGGCGACGAAACAUAGCCGAACGGCGACGGUGAGCGGCCACACUGGGAGGGAGACACGGCCCAGACGGCUACGGGAGGCAGCAAGAGGGAAUCGUCGGCAAUGGACGAGAGUCAGUGCGCGCAACGCCGAAGGAGUGAAGAAGGUCUUCGGGUGGGAGAGCUCUGUUGUAAGGGAAGAAAGGGUGUGAGCGUGGAACGUUCACACUGUGACGGUAACUUACAAGAAAGCAACGGCUAACUACGUG